This 468-nucleotide ribosomal RNA is filed under the name uncultured bacterium. RNAcentral's name for it is "SSU rRNA". It matches the Rfam family "Bacterial small subunit ribosomal RNA", at positions 26 to 518 of the family's 1533-position model. The record is from RNAcentral.
AGGACUAACGCUGGCGGCGUGCCUAACACAUGCAAGUCGAGCGGGGUAGCAAUACCCAGCGGCAGACGGGUGAGUAACGCGUGGUCAACCUUCCGUUGAAUGGGGGAUAACUAGCCGAAAGGUUAGCUAAUACCGCAUACGAUCUUUUGAAGGCAUCUUUAAAAGAUGAAAGGAGCAAUUCGUUCAACGACGGGACCGCGUCCCAUUAGCUAGAUGGUGGGGUAAUGGCCUACCAUGGCAACGAUGGGUAGCUGGUUUGAGAGAGCGACCAGCCACACUGGGACUGAGAAACGGCCCAGACUCCUACGGGAGGCAGCAGUGAGGAAUUUUUCCGCAAUGGGCGAAAGCCUGACGGAGCGACGCCGCGUGUGGGAAGAAGGCCUUCGGGGUCGUAAACCGACUGUCGAAGGGGACGAUAAUGACGGUACCCUUGGAGGAAGCCCCGGCUAACUACGCGCCAGCAGCCGC